RNAcentral lists this long non-coding RNA (1423 nucleotides) under Sinocyclocheilus anshuiensis. RNAcentral's name for it is "lncRNA (ENSSANG00000017551.1)". Lineage: Eukaryota; Metazoa; Chordata; Actinopteri; Cypriniformes; Cyprinidae. The record is from RNAcentral.
GUUAUUACAGCACUUUUCAGAUUCUUGAUUUCUGUGCAUUUGCUGCAGAGCUUUUGUGGAGCAGGUGAUGGCGGCGUUUGUGAAAAAAAGGGAAAACCUGAAACAAAAUCAUUAUGUUAAAAUGACUGCUUGUGUAUUGUGUUUGUGCAUUUUUGCAGGAUCUGAAAUGUCUGCAGACUGGUGUGAGCUGUGAGGAUGGAGGAGUCCACAGCAGCAUCCUGGAAAUGGUCCAGUGUCAUGGAUGAGACGCUCUAUCACUCCACCUCUUACUGCCUCAUCUGGACCAGAUGUUGCUGUGGUCUCUUCAUCCUCAGUGACCCCAGAGCCAGCGAGAGCAUCUAGAGAAAAACCAAAAGACACUGAGGAUGUGAGUUUGGUCAAGUUUGUCCUGCUGGCUUGUUCAUACAACAUCAGUCAAUGGAGCCCACACUUCAAAAGCAUAAUCAAAUAAAGUCAUGAAGCUUCUGAAAGUCAGGCUCCAUUCACUGAUACUGUAUGAACACAAACCAGCAGAACAAACUUAACCAAAAUCACCUUUUGUGUUCAGAAAAAACCACAAGGAUUGAACAGCGUUGAGGCAAGUAAAUAAUGACUGAAUUUAUAUGUUUGGAUGAACUAACCCUUUAAACCCUCCAAAUAGAAAUUGUAUGAAAUAUAUGCAUGCAUUUAUAUUAUAGUAGUACCGUGAAGAAAUAAACUUGAAGAAAUAAGCAGCUUUAUUGAGUGUUUGUGCCCAAGACACAAAAAAGCAUUUACAAAAAUCACAUUUACAUUUCUGCAUUUGUCACACUUUUAUCCGACAGUGCUCUUAUUACAGGGACCCCAAUCCCUCAGCAGCCACCCGGAGUAAAGCCAGCGGUGGUGACGACUGCAGAGAUCGAACCAGCAACCUUCUGCUGCCCAGCUCACUACACCACAGAAGUGUUACAGCUAGUCGUGCUCAUGGAGAGCAGCACACAGAUGUUUGGAGCAGACAGCAGCAGUCAGAUUGUCCCGCACAUGUUCAGGGUUGUGUGUUUCAGGAGCAUCAUCAUGGUCUUCCUCAUCCUCUCCGUGCACUCAGACAAAGACAGCCUCGAUGUCCCUUUCUCAUCCAUGAUCAGAUUCAGUCUGACUGCAGCAGUGAGGGUCGUGAUGGAUGACAGAGACAGCUGAAGGUGGACACGGUGGUCAGCUGCAGAACUGUCUCCGCUGUGUUGAGAUGCAGUAGAUGUGGGCUCACCGUCUGUAAAUACAUGAUUGUUAGAACAAUGUUUGAAUAAAGCUUUGUUUCAUGUGUCGAUGACUUGUAUUUAUUUAUUGUCAUGGUUACUUUUAUUCUUUUACUCAUAUAUUCAUAUUUCCUGUUGUUGUCGUCAGUAAAUAAAAUAUAAUUGUUUCAUUAACUUGUUCAUUACUUGACUGAAAAUUGUGAAGUAUUCAC